AUGCUGGAGGUAUCAGAAGUGCGAAUGCUGACAUAAGUAACGAUAAAGCGGGUGAAAAGCCCGCUCGCCGGAAGACCAAGGGUUCCUGUCCAACGUUAAUCGGGGCAGGGUGAGUCGACCCCUAAGGCGAGGCCGAAAGGCGUAGUCGAUGGGAAACAGGUUAAUAUUCCUGUACUUGGUGUUACUGCGAAGGGGGGACGGAGAAGGCUAUGUUGGCCGGGCGACGGUUGUCCCGGUUUAAGCGUGUAGGCUGGUUUUCCAGGCAAAUCCGGAAAAUCAAGGCUGAGGCGUGAUGACGAGGCACUACGGUGCUGAAGCAACAAAUGCCCUGCUUCCAGGAAAAGCCUCUAAGCAUCAGGUAACAUCAAAUCGUACCCCAAACCGACACAGGUGGUCAGGUAGAGAAUACCAAGGCGCUUGAGAGAACUCGGGUGAAGGAACUAGGCAAAAUGGUGCCGUAACUUCGGGAGAAGGCACGCUGAUAUGUAGGUGAAGUCCCUCGCGGAUGGAGCUGAAAUCAGUCGAAGAUACCAGCUGGCUGCAACUGUUUAUUAAAAACACAGCACUGUGCAAACACGAAAGUGGACGUAUACGGUGUGACGCCUGCCCGGUGCCGGAAGGUUAAUUGAUGGGGUUAGCCGCAAGGCGAAGCUCUUGAUCGAAGCCCCGGUAAACGGCGGCCGUAACUAUAACGGUCCUAAGGUAGCGAAAUUCCUUGUCGGGUAAGUUCCGACCUGCACGAAUGGCGUAAUGAUGGCCAGGCUGUCUCCACCCGAGACUCAGUGAAAUUGAACUCGCUGUGAAGAUGCAGUGUACCCGCGGCAAGACGGAAAGACCCCGUGAACCUUUACUAUAGCUUGACACUGAACAUUGAGCCUUGAUGUGUAGGAUAGGUGGGAGGCUUAGAAGUGUGGACGCCAGUCUGCAUGGAGCCGACCUUGAAAUACCACCCUUUAAUGUUUGAUGUUCUAACGUUGACCCGUAAUCCGGGUUGCGGACAGUGUCUGGUGGGUAGUUUGACUGGGGCGGUCUCCUCCUAAAGAGUAACGGAGGAGCACGAAGGUUGGCUAAUCCUGGUCGGACAUCAGGAGGUUAGUGCAAUGGCAUAAGCCAGCUUGACUGCGAGCGUGACGGCGCGAGCAGGUGCGAAAGCAGGUCAUAGUGAUCCGGUGGUUCUGAAUGGAAGGGCCAUCGCUCAACGGAUAAAAGGUACUCCGGGGAUAACAGGCUGAUACCGCCCAAGAGUUCAUAUCGACGGCGGUGUUUGGCACCUCGAUGUCGGCUCAUCACAUCCUGGGGCUGAAGUAGGUCCCAAGGGUAUGGCUGUUCGCCAUUUAAAGUGGUACGCGAGCUGGGUUUAGAACGUCGUGAGACAGUUCGGUCCCUAUCUGCCGUGGGCGCUGGAGAACUGAGGGGGGCUGCUCCUAGUACGAGAGGACCGGAGUGGACGCAUCACUGGUGUUCGGGUUGUCAUGCCAAUGGCACUGCCCGGUAGCUAAAUGCGGAAGAGAUAAGUGCUGAAAGCAUCUAAGCACGAAACUUGCCCCGAGAUGAGUUCUCCCUGACCCUUUAAGGGUCCUGAAGGAACGUUGAAGACGACGACGUUGAUAGGCCGGGUGUGUAAGCGCAGCGAUGCGUUGAGCUAACCGGUACUAAUGAACCGUGAGGCUUAACCUU
RNAcentral lists this ribosomal RNA (1677 nucleotides) under Escherichia coli. RNAcentral's name for it is "partial 23S ribosomal RNA". It matches the Rfam family "Bacterial large subunit ribosomal RNA", at positions 1270 to 2925 of the family's 2925-position model. Lineage: Bacteria; Pseudomonadati; Pseudomonadota; Gammaproteobacteria; Enterobacterales; Enterobacteriaceae. The record is from RNAcentral.